Molecule: ribosomal RNA, 734 nt
Filed under: uncultured Cellulosimicrobium sp.
Lineage: Bacteria; Bacillati; Actinomycetota; Actinomycetes; Micrococcales; Promicromonosporaceae
Description: bacterial SSU rRNA
Rfam family: Bacterial small subunit ribosomal RNA
Source: RNAcentral
GACGAACGCUGGCGGCGUGCUUAACACAUGCAAGUCGAACGAUGAUGCCCAGCUUGCUGGGCGGAUUAGUGGCGAACGGGUGAGUAACACGUGAGUAACCUGCCCUUGACUUCGGGAUAACUCCGGGAAACCGGGGCUAAUACCGGAUAUGAGCCGUCCUCGCAUGGGGGUGGUUGGAAAGUUUUUCGGUCAGGGAUGGGCCCGCGGCCUAUCAGCUUGUUGGUGGGGUGAUGGCCUACCAAGGCGACGACGGGUAGCCGGCCUGAGAGGGCGACCGGCCACACUGGGACUGAGACACGGCCCAGACUCCUACGGGAGGCAGCAGUGGGGAAUAUUGCACAAUGGGCGAAAGCCUGAUGCAGCGACGCCGCGUGAGGGAUGAAGGCCUUCGGGUUGUAAACCUCUUUCAGCAGGGAAGAAGCGCAAGUGACGGUACCUGCAGAAGAAGCGCCGGCUAACUACGUGCCAGCAGCCGCGGUAAUACGUAGGGCGCAAGCGUUGUCCGGAAUUAUUGGGCGUAAAGAGCUCGUAGGCGGUUUGUCGCGUCUGGUGUGAAAACUCGAGGCUCAACCUCGAGCUUGCAUCGGGUACGGGCAGACUAGAGUGCGGUAGGGGAGACUGGAAUUCCUGGUGUAGCGGUGGAAUGCGCAGAUAUCAGGAGGAACACCGAUGGCGAAGGCAGGUCUCUGGGCCGCAACUGACGCUGAGGAGCGAAAGCAUGGGGAGCGAACAGG